Molecule: ribosomal RNA, 465 nt
Filed under: Vreelandella stevensii
Lineage: Bacteria; Pseudomonadati; Pseudomonadota; Gammaproteobacteria; Oceanospirillales; Halomonadaceae
Description: partial 16S ribosomal RNA
Rfam family: Bacterial small subunit ribosomal RNA
Source: RNAcentral
CCUACGGGGGGCUGCAGUGGGGAAUAUUGGACAAUGGGGGGAACCCUGAUCCAGCCAUGCCGCGUGUGUGAAGAAGGCCCUCGGGUUGUAAAGCACUUUCAGUGAGGAAGAACGCCUGGUGGUUAAUACCCAUCAGGAAAGACAUCACUCACAGAAGAAGCACCGGCUAACUCCGUGCCAGCAGCCGCGGUAAUACGGAGGGUGCGAGCGUUAAUCGGAAUUACUGGGCGUAAAGCGCGCGUAGGUGGCUUGAUAAGCCGGUUGUGAAAGCCCCGGGCUCAACCUGGGAACGGCAUCCGGAACUGUCAAGCUAGAGUGCAGGAGAGGAAGGUAGAAUUCCCGGUGUAGCGGUGAAAUGCGUAGAGAUCGGGAGGAAUACCAGCGGCGAAGGCGGCCUUCUGGACUGACACUGACACUGAGGUGCGAAAGCGUGGGUAGCAAACAGGAUUAGAUACCCGUGUAGUC